AGCUUUGCACAGUGGCAGUAUUGUAGCCAAUGAGGUUUAUCCGAGGUGCAGUUAUUGCUAAUUGAAAAUUUUUCUAAUAAAAAUUCCUUAAACCAUGAGGAAAAACAGACAAUAUUUUCUUGGGAGUCAA
Molecule: small nuclear RNA, 130 nt
Filed under: Octodon degus (degu)
Lineage: Eukaryota; Metazoa; Chordata; Mammalia; Rodentia; Octodontidae
Description: U4 spliceosomal RNA (ENSODEG00000024972.1)
Rfam family: U4 spliceosomal RNA
About the family: U4 small nuclear RNA (U4 snRNA) is a component of the major U2-dependent spliceosome. The structure of U4 snRNA from yeast and human has been reported. U4 snRNA presents a k-turn RNA motif in the 5p-SL related to recognition of Snu13 protein.
Source: RNAcentral